ACUCCUACGGGAGGCAGCAGUGGGGAAUUUUCCGCAAUGGGCGAAAGCCUGACGGAGCAAUACCGCGUGCGGGAGGAAGGCCCUUGGGUCGUAAACCGCUUUUCUUAGGGAAGAAACCUGACGGUACCUAAGGAAUAAGCCUCGGCUAACUCCGUGCCAGCAGCCGCGGUAAUACGGAGGAGGCAAGCGUUAUCCGGAAUUAUUGGGCGUAAAGAGUCCGUAGGUGGUUCAUCAAGUCUGCGGUUAAAGAGUGCAGCUCAACUGCAUAAAGGCCGUGGAAACUGUUGAACUAGAGUAUGGUAGGGGUAGGGGGAAUUCCCAGUGUAGCGGUGAAAUGCGUAGAGAUUGGGAAGAACACCGGUGGCGAAAGCGCCCUGCUGGGCCAUAACUGACACUGAGGGACGAAAGCUAGGGUAGCGAAUGGGAUUAGAUACCCCAGUAGUCCUAGCCGUAAACGAUGGAAACUAGGCGUAGCUUGUAUCGACCCGAGCUGUGCCGAAGCUAACGCGUUAAGUUUCCCGCCUGGGGAGUACGCACGCAAGUGUGAAACUCAAAGGAAUUGACGGGGGCCCGCACAAGCGGUGGAGUAUGUGGUUUAAUUCGAUGCAACGCGAAGAACCUUACCAAGGCUUGACAUCCCGCGAAUCCCGGUGAAAGUCGGGAGUGCCUUAGGGAGCGCGGAGACAGGUGGUGCAUGGCUGUCGUCAGCUCGUGUCGUGAGAUGUUGGGUUAAGUCCCGCAACGAGCGCAACCCUCGUCCUUAGUUGCCAGCAUUAAGUUGGGCACUCUAGGGAGACUGCCGGUGACAAACCGGAGGAAGGUGAGGAUGACGUCAAGUCAGCAUGCCCCUUACGUCUUGGGCUACACACGUACUACAAUGGUUGGGACAAAGGGCAGCAAGCUCGCGAGAGUAAGCGAAUCUCAUCAAACCCAGCCUCAGUUCAGAUUGCAGGCUGCAACUCGCCUGCAUGAAGUAGGAAUCGCUAGUAAUCGCAGGUCAGCAUACUGCGGUGAAUCCGUUCCCGGGCCUUGUACACACCGCCCGUCACA
Molecule: ribosomal RNA, 1050 nt
Filed under: Spirulina subsalsa MTY3
Lineage: Bacteria; Bacillati; Cyanobacteriota; Cyanophyceae; Spirulinales; Spirulinaceae
Also listed under: 2 other names
Description: bacterial SSU rRNA
Rfam family: Bacterial small subunit ribosomal RNA
Source: RNAcentral